GUGUAACGGAGGCGCCCAAAGGUUCCCUCAGCCUGGUUGGCAAUCAGGUGUUGAGUGUAAGUGCACAAGGGAGCUUGACUGUGAGACUGGCAGGUCGAGCAGGGACGAAAGUCGGGACUAGUGAUCCGGCGGUACGUUGUGGAACGGCCGUCGCUCAACGGAUAAAAGGUACCUCGGGGAUAACAGGCUGAUCUUGCCCAAGAGUCCAUAUCGACGGCAUGGUUUGGCACCUCGAUGUCGGCUCGUCGCAUCCUGGGGCUGGAGUCGGUCCCAAGGGUUGGGCUGUUCGCCCAUUAAAGCGGUACGCGAGCUGGGUUCAGAACGUCGUGAGACAGUUCGGUCCCUAUCCGGCGCGGGCGUAGGAUAUUUGAGAGGAUCUGUCCUUAGUACGAGAGGACCGGGAUGGACUGACCUCUGCUGAACCUGUUGGGAAUCAAUCCCAUCGCAGGGUAGGCAAGUUGGGAAUGGAUAAACGCUGAAGGCAUCUAAGCGUGAAGCCAACCUCAAGAUGAGAUAUCCCAUCGCAAGAGUAAGACCCCUUGAAGAGAACGAGGUAGAUAGGGCUGAGGUGUAAGUGCUGCAAAGCAUUCAGCUGACAGCUA
Molecule: ribosomal RNA, 602 nt
Filed under: Lachnospiraceae bacterium
Lineage: Bacteria; Bacillati; Bacillota; Clostridia; Lachnospirales; Lachnospiraceae
Description: partial 23S ribosomal RNA
Rfam family: Bacterial large subunit ribosomal RNA
Source: RNAcentral